AACUUUCGAUGGUAGGAUAGAGGCCUACCAUGGUAGUAACGGGUAACGGGGUGUUAGGGCACGACACCGGAGAGGGAGCCUGAGAAACGGCUACCACAUCCAAGGAUGGCAGCAGGCGCGCAAAUUACCCAAUCCCAACACGGGGAGGUAGUGACAAUAAAUAACAAUACGGGGUCCUUUCGGGUCUCGUAAUUGGAAUGAGUACAAUUUAAAUCACUUAACGAGUAUCAAUUGGAGGGCAAGUCUGGUGCCAGCAGCCGCGGUAAUUCCAGCUCCAAUAGCGUAUAUUAAAGUUGUUGCAGUCAAAAAGCUCGUAGUUGAACUUCGGAAACGGUAGGUUGGUCGUGCCUCUGGUACGUACUGGCCUUACCGGUUCCUCCUUUCUGACGAACCAUGAUGCCAUUAAUUUGGUGUUGUGGGGAAUCAGGACUGUUACUUUGAAAAAAUUAGAGUGUUUAAAGCAGGCUAAAGCUUGAAUAGAUUAGCAUGGAAUAAUGAAAUAGGACGUUUGAUCUUAUUUUGUUGGUUUCUAAGAUCGACGUAAUGAUUAAUAGGGAUAGUUGGGGCAUUAGUAUUCAAUUGUCAGAGGUGAAAUUCUUGGAUUUAUUGAAGACCAACUACUGCGAAAGCAUUUGCCAAGGAUGUUUUCAUUAAUCAAGAACGAAAGUUAGGGGAUCGAAGGCGAUCAGAUACCGUCGUAGUCUUAACCAUAAACUAUGCCGACUAGGGAUCGGAUGAUGUUAAUUUUUUAAUGACUCAUUCGGCACCUUACGGGAAACCAAAGUGUUUGGGUUC
Molecule: ribosomal RNA, 795 nt
Filed under: uncultured Glomus
Lineage: Eukaryota; Fungi; Glomeromycota; Glomeromycetes; Glomerales; Glomeraceae
Description: SSU rRNA
Rfam family: Eukaryotic small subunit ribosomal RNA
Source: RNAcentral